RNAcentral lists this ribosomal RNA (746 nucleotides) under uncultured bacterium. RNAcentral's name for it is "bacterial SSU rRNA". It matches the Rfam family "Bacterial small subunit ribosomal RNA", at positions 8 to 798 of the family's 1533-position model. The record is from RNAcentral.
AGAGUUUGAUCCUGGCUCAGAGCGAACGCUGGCGGCAGGCUUAACACAUGCAAGUCGAGCGGGCGUAGCAAUACGUCAGCGGCAGACGGGUGAGUAACGCGUGGGAACGUACCUUUUGGUUCGGAACAACACAGGGAAACUUGUGCUAAUACCGGAUAAGCCCUUACGGGGAAAGAUUUAUCGCCGAAAGAUCGGCCCGCGUCUGAUUAGCUAGUUGGUGAGGUAACGGCUCACCAAGGCGACGAUCAGUAGCUGGUCUGAGAGGAUGAUCAGCCACAUUGGGACUGAGACACGGCCCAAACUCCUACGGGAGGCAGCAGUGGGGAAUAUUGGACAAUGGGGGCAACCCUGAUCCAGCCAUGCCGCGUGAGUGAUGAAGGCCCUAGGGUUGUAAAGCUCUUUUGUGCGGGAAGAUAAUGACGGUACCGCAAGAAUAAGCCCCGGCUAACUUCGUGCCAGCAGCCGCGGUAAUACGAAGGGGGCUAGCGUUGCUCGGAAUCACUGGGCGUAAAGGGUGCGUAGGCGGAUCUUUAAGUCAGAGGUGAAAGCCUGGAGCUCAACUCCAGAACUGCCUUUGAUACUGGGGAUCUUGAGUUCGGGAGAGGUGAGUGGAACUGCGAGUGUAGAGGUGAAAUUCGUAGAUAUUCGCAAGAACACCAGUGGCGAAGGCGGCUCACUGGCCCGAUACUGACGCUGAGGCACGAAAGCGUGGGGAGCAAACAGGAUUAGAUACCCUGGUAGUCCAA